GGCUUAUAAAUACAAUAUAUAAAUAUAUAUUUACAUAUACUCAUAUAUCCAGAAACUUUGGCUGUAGCUGUUUUAAAGACAAAAUAUCCAUCUAGUUUAGUGAUGGAAAAAGAAUGGCCAGUAGCCAUAUCUUCGAUGACAUCUCGAUUUAAGAGAGAUUGUGCCGAAAAACCAGCCCAUUUCAUUAAAUAUUAUGUUGUAUUAAACACCUAUUUUUCGUUUUUUUGUAAGAUUUGUUUAAUUUUAUUAAAAAUUAUUACAGCAUAUAAUAAAUACAUAUUUUUUAUGCAUAAGAACUUUAUUUAUACGAAACAUGGUAUAUUGUUUUGUAGUAGACUUCUAUGAAAAUGAGCGGGCGUAUAAAUUUUUUAUGAGAAAAGAAGGGCGCAGAUACAGAAAGUUUGGAAACCACUGCAUUAUGAUGAAUAUGACAAAAAUUGUUAUUACAUAAAAGUAUUUUUUACAAAAGCUACACAGUUUAUUACAGGAUGUUUUCUAGAAGGCAUUUUUGUAAUUCACAAUUAGUUUUUGACGAACUCAAGCA
This 544-nucleotide long non-coding RNA is filed under the name Androctonus crassicauda. The record is from RNAcentral. Lineage: Eukaryota; Metazoa; Arthropoda; Arachnida; Scorpiones; Buthidae.